This 493-nucleotide long non-coding RNA is filed under the name Sorghum bicolor (sorghum). RNAcentral describes it as "long non-coding RNA (SBIC_LNC011967)". Lineage: Eukaryota; Viridiplantae; Streptophyta; Magnoliopsida; Poales; Poaceae. The record is from RNAcentral.
GGUGUUUGUCUAUUUCUGCAGGGGGUUAUCAGGAAAUAAGGAAGAAAGGCCCACAUGUCGGGAUUACAUAGAGAUAUCAACCCACCGUGCAAUUUUCUACCAUCUAGGAGACUCCAGAAGCCACGGGAAGGAAGCGGAGCCCGAAAGGGGCCAGGCCCAGGGCGCCCGCCCUGAGGACCUGGGCGCCCGCCCCCCUCUGGACUCCGUUCCGGACUCUCUUCGCACACGACGUUCCACCGACCUAUUGGAUCCAGAAUAACAUAGUACCACCUCGCCUAUCGACCCAAAAACGCAUAGAAGGGGAGGACUAUAUAAGGAGACCCCCUCUGGCCCCUGGAGGAGACAAGAAAUUAUCAUAGAGAUUGAGGGGUGCCCUCGAAGGAAAACCUCUUCUCUAAAUAAUAUUUCUUUUUAGGCUUAGCAACCAAUGUAAGGUAGAAAUAGAUCUUCUAGUUUCUAUUAGAUUGAGAGAGAUAGAGUGGAGGUGUGGAUC